AACGAACGCUGGCGGCAUGCCUAACACAUGCAAGUCGAACGAGAUCUUCGGGUCUAGUGGCGCACGGGUGCGUAACGCGUGGGAAUCUGCCCUUUGGUUCGGAAUAACAGUUGGAAACGACUGCUAAUACCGGAUGAUGACGAAAGUCCAAAGAUUUAUCGCCAGAGGAUGAGCCCGCGUAGGAUUAGCUAGUUGGUGUGGUAAAGGCGCACCAAGGCGACGAUCCUUAGCUGGUCUGAGAGGAUGAUCAGCCACACUGGCACUGAGACACGGCCCAUACUCCGACGGGAGGCAGCAGUGGGGAAGAUUGGACAAUGGGCGAAAGCCUGAUCCAGCAAUGCCGCGUGAGUGAUGAAGGCCUUAGGGUUGCAAAGCCCUUUUACCCGGGAUGAUAAUGACAGUACCGGGAGAAUAAGCUCCGGCUAACUCCGUGCCAGCCGCCGCCGUAA
RNAcentral lists this ribosomal RNA (449 nucleotides) under uncultured bacterium. RNAcentral's name for it is "partial 16S ribosomal RNA". It matches the Rfam family "Bacterial small subunit ribosomal RNA", at positions 29 to 523 of the family's 1533-position model. The record is from RNAcentral.